AGAGUUUGAUCCUGGCUCAGAAUCAACGCUGGCGGCGUGCCUCAGACAUGCAAGUCGAACGCGAAAGCCUCCUUCGGGGGGCAAGUAGAGUGGCGCACGGGUGAGUAACACGUAGGUAAUCUACCUUUGGAUUGGGAAUAACCACCGGAAACGGUGGCUAAUACCGAAUAAUGCAGCGGCACCUAAUGGUGACAGUUGUUAAAGCGGGGGAUCGCAAGACCUCGCGCCUGAAGAGGAGCCCGCGGCGGAUUAGCUAGUUGGUGGGGUAACGGCUCACCAAGGCAACGAUGCAUAGCUGGUCUGAGAGGAUGAUCAGCCACACUGGGACUGAGACACGGCCCAGACUCCUACGGGAGGCAGCAGCCAGGAAUCUUGGGCAAUGGGCGAAAGCCUGACGCAGCGACGCCGCGUGCGGGAAGAAGGCCUUCGGGUUGUAAACCGCUUUCAGGAGGGACGAAGCCACUCGGGUUAAUAGCCCAGAGGGUGACGGUACCUCCAGAAGAAGCCCCGGCUAACUACGUGCCAGCAGCGGCGGUAAUUC
Molecule: ribosomal RNA, 541 nt
Filed under: uncultured bacterium
Lineage: Bacteria
Description: bacterial SSU rRNA
Rfam family: Bacterial small subunit ribosomal RNA
Source: RNAcentral